This 301-nucleotide ribosomal RNA is filed under the name uncultured bacterium. RNAcentral's name for it is "partial 16S ribosomal RNA". It matches the Rfam family "Bacterial small subunit ribosomal RNA", at positions 509 to 809 of the family's 1533-position model. The record is from RNAcentral.
CAGCCGCCGCGGGAAUACGAAGGGGGCUAGCGUUGUUCGGAUUUACUGGGCGUAAAGCGCACGUAGGCGGAUCUUUAAGUCAGGGGUGAAAUCCCGAGGCUCAACCUCGGAACUGCCUUUGAUACUGGAGAUCUCGAGUCCGGGAGAGGUGAGUGGAACUGCGAGUGUAGAGGUGAAAUUCGUAGAUAUUCGCAAGAACACCAGUGGCGAAGGCGGCUCACUGGCCCGGAACUGACGCUGAGGUGCGAAAGCGUGGGGAGCAAACGGGAUUAGAUACCCCUGUAGUCCCUGUCUCUUAUAA